GCCAAGGCACUGCUUUCUCUUGCAGUAUUCCUGCAGAGCUGGAAACAGCAUUUGCUUCAAUAGAAGAGUUUGAGAUCCCCAGGAAAAUGGGACCUGAGCCCCCUCCCUGUGAAGCUGAUGGCAAAGGAACAGCGUUGCUCUGACAGGGCUCAUGAGAAUUGAAUCCUGCUUAGCUCAAGGUUAACAGCUAAGCCAGAAUCACAGCUCACUGCAGAAGAUCCGAAUCUUCCCAGCUCCCAGAUGGUGCUCAAGGCAUUGGAAUGUGCAGCAUUUCUAAACAAGAUGCUUUUAAUGCAGCUCACCCGGUGUUUCACUGCAGUCCCCGUUCUUCUGUAUUUAAACCUCAAAUCUGUGGCAGAUUUGAUAGUGGCUCCAUGAGAGGGAAGUGUGGAUGCUCCAUCCAUGGAAGUUUCCAAGGCCAGGUUGGACGGGUCUUGGAGCAGCCUGGGAAUAGUGGGAGGUGUCCCUGCCCCUGACAGGGUGAUUUUUAAGGUCCCUUCCCAAACCAUUGUGGGAUUUGAUGAAGUUUGCAGCACUCAGCCUGACCUUCCUUUCCCUUAAAAGCAGUGACUCAUAAACUGGAUUUUGCUCCACA
Molecule: non-coding RNA, 595 nt
Organism: Lonchura striata (white-rumped munia)
Lineage: Eukaryota; Metazoa; Chordata; Aves; Passeriformes; Estrildidae
Source: RefSeq, a predicted model, not a curated record